UGGUUUCUUCUGAAUCAAACUGUGGUUGCU
Molecule: non-coding RNA, 30 nt
Filed under: Rattus norvegicus (Norway rat)
Lineage: Eukaryota; Metazoa; Chordata; Mammalia; Rodentia; Muridae
Source: RNAcentral